RNAcentral lists this ribosomal RNA (497 nucleotides) under uncultured bacterium. RNAcentral describes it as "partial 16S ribosomal RNA". It matches the Rfam family "Bacterial small subunit ribosomal RNA", at positions 28 to 507 of the family's 1533-position model. The record is from RNAcentral.
GAUGAACGCUGGCGGCGUGCCUAAUACAUGCCAGUCGAGCGAACAGACGAGGAGCUUACUCCUCUGACGUUAGCGGCGGACGGGUGAGUAACACGUGGAUAACCUACCUAUAAGACUGGGAUAACUUCGGGAAACCGGAGCUAAUACCGGAUAAUAUAUUGAACCGCAUGGUUCAAUAGUGAAAGACGGUUUUGCUGUCACUUAUAGAUGGAUCCGCGCCGCAUUAGCUAGUUGGUAAGGUAACGGCUUACCAAGGCGACGAUGCGUAGCCGACCUGAGAGGGUGAUCGGCCACACUGGAACUGAGACACGGUCCAGACUCCUACGGGAGGCAGCAGUAGGGAAUCUUCCGCAAUGGGCGAAAGCCUGACGGAGCAACGCCGCGUGAGUGAUGAAGGUCUUCGGAUCGUAAAACUCUGUUAUUAGGGAAGAACAAAUGUGUAAGUAACUAUGCACGUCUUGACGGUACCUAAUCAGAAAGCCACGGCUAACUACGUG